AGGGAACGGUCGCUGCUGAUGUA
RNAcentral lists this microRNA (23 nucleotides) under Drosophila ananassae. RNAcentral describes it as "Dan-Mir-2-P6c_5p* (star (passenger))". The record is from RNAcentral. Lineage: Eukaryota; Metazoa; Arthropoda; Insecta; Diptera; Drosophilidae.